UACGAACAUAUCGCGUUGAAACACCGGUUCUCGCCCGAUAACCGAUUUUAAGCAACGUCGAGCCUGGUCAGUACCUGGAUGGGUGAUCGCUUCGGAAUACCAGGUGCUGUAAG
Molecule: non-coding RNA, 113 nt
Organism: Acanthosepion pharaonis
Lineage: Eukaryota; Metazoa; Mollusca; Cephalopoda; Sepiida; Sepiidae
Source: the annotation of a GenBank genome assembly